CGACCUUGAAGCGCACCGUUUCAAGUAAUUGUCGAAGUGGAUCUUUCCACAUGUGAGACGCACGUGCUCACUAAUCAGUUGUUAAUUAAUAUGUAUUAGGGUUUUGCCCCAAACUAGUUGGAUGUUUGCCAAGUGGCAAGAUCUAGAAGGCUCAUUCUGGUUAUAAAUGGUCUUUGUAAGAGAACAGCCGCUAUCAAUGAAAAAGACUUGCUUUGAUUUCCUUUUGCAGUUCUGUUAUUAGUUCCAGAUCCCUGUUACUUCUCUUUCCGUCACCUUUACUCUCCUCUCCAUUAUUUCCACUUCUUAUUGAACCCCUCUUGAUCUUUACUGAUCACCAAUCAAUCAGUUUCCGAUGGCGUUGAGUACCCAAGUCAGAGCUUCCACCGGUUCAGCUUUCUCAUGGAAAUACGACGUGUUUUUGAGCUUCCGAGGCGAAGACACCCGGAAGGGCUUCACUGAUUACUUAUACGACAAGUUGAAGUGGCGAGGAAUCAGGACUUUCAGGGACGACCCUGAACUUGAAAGAGGCACAACCAUCUCUCCGGAGCUCAUCUCAGCAAUCGAGCAGUCCAGGUUUGCGAUCGUUGUUCUUUCUCCAAACUAUGCUUCUUCCACGUGGUGUUUGCUUGAACUGUGUAUUAUUUUGGAUUGCAUGGAAAAGAGAGGGACCAUUCUGCCGGUCUUUUAUGAGGUCAACCCGUCUGAUGUGAGACACCAAAGGGACAGCUUUGCUGAAGCGUUUGAUGAACAUGAAGAGAAGUUUGGAGAAGAUAGUAAGGAAGUGGAAGGGUGGAGAGAUGCUUUAACACAAGUGGCGAACCUCGCUGGCUGGAAUUCAAAGGAUUACAGGUAUGGAACAGAGCUUAUCAAAGAGAUUGUGCAAGCACUGUGGAGCAAAGUGCAUCCUAGUGCCACACUAUUUGGUUCCUCAGAGAUGUUAGUUGGAAUGGAUACUAAGCUGGAGGAAUUAGAUGUUCUUUUAGAUAAAGAAGCAAAUGAUGUUCGCUUUAUAGGGCUAUGGGGAAUGGGUGGGCUGGGUAAGACAACUCUUGCUAGACAAGUUUAUGAGAAGAUCUCUGAUCAAUUUGAAGUUUCCAUCUUUGUUUCUAAUGUCAGAGAGGUUUCUGCAACCCAUGGUCUAGUUCAUAUACAUAAGCAGAUUCUGUCCCAAAUCUUGAAGCAAGAAAAUGAACAAGUAUGGGAUGUUUAUAGUGCAAUGAAUAUGACUAAGAGAUGUUUAUGCAAUAAAGCGGUUCUUCUAGUUCUUGACGAUGUGGAUCAAGUAGAGCAACUGGAAACCUUGGUGGGAGAAAAAGACUGGUUUGGUAUGAGGAGUAGAAUCAUCAUUACAACUAGAAAUCAACGUAUACUAGUCACACAUGGUAUAGAUGAACCAUAUGAGUUGAAGGGAUUAAACAAUGAUGAAGCUCUCAAGCUCUUUAGUUUGAAAGCCUUUAGGAAAUAUGAGCCAGAAGAAGAUUUUGCAGAGCUCUCUAGGUGCUUUGUUAGCUAUGCCAGCGGUCUUCCCUUAGCUCUUAAGACUUUGGGGUCUUUCUUGUAUAAAAGAAAUGCAGAUGCAUGGAUUUCUGCAUUGGAAAAACUACGGAAUACUCCCGACGGAACAAUCUUUGACAUCCUGAAAAUAAGUUAUGAUGGACUCGAUAAGAUGGAGAAGAAAAUUUUUCUGGACAUCGCCUGUUUUUCUUCGGAAUGUCAAGCCAAGUUUGUUAUUGAACUACUGUAUAGUUCUGACAUUUGCACUCGUAUUGCAAUAGAUGUUCUUGUUGAGAGAUCUCUCUUAACUUUUUCAUCAGACAAUGAGAUAGGUAUACAUGAUUUGAUACAAGAAAUGGGACGUGAAAUUGUACGGCAAGAGUCUUAUGAAGAGCCUGGUGGACGCAGUCGUUUGUGGCUUCACAAAGACGUUUUUCAUGUUUUCACCAAGAAUACGGGAACAGAAGCCAUCGAAGGCAUAUGGUUACACUUGCCUGAAUUAGAAGAAGCAGAUUGGAAUCAUGAAGCCUUCUCUAAAAUGGGUAAACUGAAGCUUCUCUACAUUCAUAACUUGAGGCUUGCUCUUGGCCCUAAUUGUCUUCCUAAUGCCUUGAGAUUUCUGAACUGGAGUUGGUAUCCUUCAAAAUCUCUCCCACCAAGUUUUCAACCGGAUGAACUCACUGAACUUAGCCUUCCCCAUAGCAAUAUUCGUCACCUCUGGAAUGGAAUGAAAUGCUUGGUCAAGUUGAAAUCUAUCGACCUUAGUUACUCCAUAAACUUGACAAUGACCCCAGAUUUCACAGGCAUUCCAAACCUCGAGAGGUUGGUUUUUGAAGGUUGUACGAAUUUAGUUAAGGUUCAUCCAUCCAUUGCAUUGCUGAAGAGACUCAAAAUUUGGAACUUUAGAUACUGCCGAAGUAUCAAGAGUCUACCAAGUGAAGUGAAAAAUGGAAUAUCUUGAGACUUUUGAUGUAUCUGGCUGCUCAAAACUAAAAAUGAUUCCAGAAUUUAUGGGGCAAAUGAAAAGAUUAUCCAAGCUUUCUUUAAGUGGGACUGCUGUUAAAAACCCGCCUUCAUCAGUUGAGCGUUUCAGUGAGAGUUUGGUGGAGCUUGAUUUGUGUGGAAUUGUUGCAAGAGAGCGGCCAUACUCUCAUUUUUUAUCUUUUGGCUUAUUUCCGAGAAAGAGUCCUCACCCUUUGCUUCCUCUGUUAGCUUCCUUGAAGCAUUUGUCUUCUUUGACGUCAUUAAAACUGAAUGACUGUAACCUCCGUGAAGGAGAAAUUCCGAAUGAAAUUGGUUCUCUGUCCACCUUAAGGGAAUUGGAACUCGGAGGAAAUAAUUUUGUCACCCUUCCUGCCAGCCUUCAUUUGCUUUCUGAUCUGGAAUACAUUAGCGUGGAGGAUUGCAAAAGGCUUGAGCAAUUGCCAGACCUCGCAUUCAAUGACAGGUUAUGUGUAGUAACCAGCAAUUGUACUUCCUUAAAAGUGUUUCCAGAUCCAUCAGAUUCGUGCAGAUUCAGUACGGUUGGUAAUCUGGAUUCAAGUUAUUUUUUAUAUUCAAUGCUGAAGCGGUUACUUGAGGAAGCCCCUUCUUUUCGUUUCUUCUGUUGUGUACUUCCUGGAAGUGAAAUGUUUGAGUGGUUCAGUAAUCAGAGUUUGGGAGACACGGUAACUGAGAAGAUACCUCCGUAUUCAAGUAAUAGCAAGUGGAUUGGGUUUGCUGUAUGUGCGCUAUUUGCAGCUCAUGACAAUCCAUCUGCCGUUUCCGAAUUCCCUUAUUUACAUCCUGGUCAAAGUUUGAUUACGUGUUCAUUUGAUGGCCACGUGUUUUAUGGACCACCUGUAAAACAAAUUGGUUCAGAUCACCUAUUGCUAUCUAUUUUCUCCGCUCGUUACUGGAAGCCUGAGAACUGUCCAGAUGACAACUUGAUUAAGUUUGUUUUUUAUACCUAUCGAGCUGUAGGAAACAACAGAUGCUUGAAGAUAAAGAAAUGUGGGUCCGUGCACUCCUGUGACAUGUCGGAUUCAUGGAUAUGCAAGGCUGUUUAUAACUCAGUGCUUCUCUAG
Fragaria vesca subsp. vesca is the source of this 3560-nucleotide RNA transcript. It is a transcript of the gene named TMV resistance protein N-like, with no coding region annotated. Lineage: Eukaryota; Viridiplantae; Streptophyta; Magnoliopsida; Rosales; Rosaceae. The transcript has 6 exons. The record is from RefSeq and is a predicted model, not a curated record.